CAAGCUGUACUUGUACAGCGAAGUGGUUGAUGCCAUGCUUCCAGGAAAAGUCUCUAAGCUUCAGUUACACAGGAAUCGUACCCGAAACCGACACAGGUGGUCAGGUCGAGUAGACCAAGGCGCUUGAGAGAACUCUGCUGAAGGAACUAGGCAAAAUGGUACCGUAACUUCGGGAGAAGGUACGCUGUUGUUGGUGAUGGAACUCGCUUCCUGAGCUGACGACAGCCGCAGAAACCAGGCCGCUGCAACUGUUUAUUAAAAACAUAGCACUCUGCAAACACGAAAGUGGACGUAUAGGGUGUGAUGCCUGCCCGGUGCUGGAAGGUUAAUUGAUGGGGUUAGCGUAAGCGAAGCUCUUGAUCGAAGCCCCAGUAAACGGCGGCCGUAACUAUAACGGUCCUAAGGUAGCGAAAUUCCUUGUCGGGUAAGUUCCGACCUGCACGAAUGGCAUAAUGAUGGCGGCGCUGUCUCCAGCAGAGGCUCAGUGAAAUCGAAAUCGCUGUGAAGAUGCAGUGUACCCGCGGCUAGACGGAAAGACCCCGUGAACCUUUACUGCAGCUUGACACUGAACUUUGACCUUACUUGUGUAGGAUAGGUGGGAGGCUUUGAAGCUGGAACGCUAGUUCCAGUGGAGCCGUCCUUGAAAUACCACCCUGGUAAUGUUGAGGUUCUAACUCUGUCCCGUGAUCCGGGACGAGGACCGUGUCUGGUGGGUAGUUUGACUGGGGCGGUCUCCUCCUAAAGAGUAACGGAGGAGUACGAAGGUGCGCUCAGCGUGGUCGGAAAUCACGCGUAGAGUAUAAAGGCAAAAGCGCGCUUAACUGCGAGACCCACAAGUCGAGCAGGUACGAAAGUAGGUCUUAGUGAUCCGGUGGUUCUGUAUGGAAGGGCCAUCGCUCAACGGAUAAAAGGUACUCUGGGGAUAACAGGCUGAUACCGCCCAAGAGUUCAUAUCGACGGCGGUGUUUGGCACCUCGAUGUCGGCUCAUCUCAUCCUGGGGCUGAAGCAGGUCCCAAGGGUAUGGCUGUUCGCCAUUUAAAGAGGUACGCGAGCUGGGUUUAGAACGUCGUGAGACAGUUCGGUCCCUAUCUACCGUGGGCGCUGGAAAUUUGAGAGGAUCUGCUCCUAGUACGAGAGGACCAGAGUGGACGAACCUCUGGUGUACCGGUUGUGACGCCAGUCGCAUCGCCGGGUAGCUAUGUUCGGAAGGGAUAACCGCUGAAAGCAUCUAAGCGGGAAGCCUACCUCAAGAUAAGAUUUCCCUAGGACUUUAUGUCCUCUAAAGAGCCGUUCGAGACUAGGACGUUGAUAGGUUGGAUGUGGAAGCAUAGUGAUAUGUGAAGCUGACCAAUACUAAUUGCUCGUGAGGCUUGACUAUACAACACCCAAGCAGUUG
RNAcentral lists this ribosomal RNA (1397 nucleotides) under Acinetobacter baumannii. RNAcentral's name for it is "partial 23S ribosomal RNA". It matches the Rfam family "Bacterial large subunit ribosomal RNA", at positions 1569 to 2925 of the family's 2925-position model. Lineage: Bacteria; Pseudomonadati; Pseudomonadota; Gammaproteobacteria; Moraxellales; Moraxellaceae. The record is from RNAcentral.